GCGGUCCGGCAAGCUAGAGAGAGAUUGAAAUUUGAGAUAAGUUAGAGAAAGAGAGAGCUCUGAGCCUGUGACUCUCGGAGGCUGGGAAUGGAAGUGUGGAAAUGGGAGAGAGAGAAAGAAAGUGUGGAACUGAGAGAGAGAGAGAGAGAGAGAGAGAGUGAGUGAGUGGUUAAUUAGUGUGGAUUGACAGAUUGUGGUGUCAUGGUGUGGGAGGAGGCGCCGAGGUGACUGGCGAGCGUCGGGCAAGCGGGCGGGCGGCGCCUGGGGGUGGGU
This 273-nucleotide long non-coding RNA is filed under the name Ananas comosus (pineapple). RNAcentral's name for it is "long non-coding RNA (ACOM_LNC012248)". The record is from RNAcentral. Lineage: Eukaryota; Viridiplantae; Streptophyta; Magnoliopsida; Poales; Bromeliaceae.